GAGCGCUCUUUGGCCUGAAGAGAGCGCGGCGCACAGCUCAGUAGCACGUGGCUAACCUGCCCUUGGGACGGGAACACCCCCGGGAAACUGGGGCUAAUUCCAGAUAGGUGAAGAACUCUGGAAUGAGUCUUCGCCCAAAAGACGCUUACGUCAUGCUCGUAGGCGCCGCCCAAGGAUGGGGCCGCGGCCGAUCAGGUUGUUGGUGAGGUAACGGCUCACCAAGCCUAUAACCGGUGCGGGCCGUGGGAGCGGGAGCCCGGAGAUGGGCACUGAGACAAGGGCCCAGGCCCUACGGGGCGCAGCAGUCGCGAAAACUUUGCAAUAAGCGAAAGCUUGACAGGGCUAUCCCGAGUGCCGUCCGCUGAGGAUGGCUUUUACCCAGUCUAGAAAGCUGGGGGAAUAAGGAGAGGG
This 411-nucleotide ribosomal RNA is filed under the name uncultured archaeon. Its description in RNAcentral is "bacterial SSU rRNA". It matches the Rfam family "Archaeal small subunit ribosomal RNA", at positions 60 to 446 of the family's 1478-position model. The record is from RNAcentral.